This 253-nucleotide ribosomal RNA is filed under the name uncultured Ruminococcus sp. RNAcentral describes it as "partial 16S ribosomal RNA". It matches the Rfam family "Bacterial small subunit ribosomal RNA", at positions 524 to 776 of the family's 1533-position model. The record is from RNAcentral. Lineage: Bacteria; Bacillati; Bacillota; Clostridia; Eubacteriales; Oscillospiraceae.
UACGUAGGGAGCGAGCGUUGUCCGGAAUUACUGGGUGUAAAGGGUGCGUAGGCGGGAGCGCAAGUCAGACGUGAAACCUACCGGCUUAACUGGUAGCCUGCGUUUGAAACUGCGAUUCUUGAGUGAAGUAGAGGUAAGCGGAAUUCCCGGUGUAGCGGUGAAAUGCGUAGAGAUCGGGAGGAACACCAGUGGCGAAGGCGGCUUACUGGGCUUUAACUGACGCUGAGGCACGAAAGCAUGGGUAGCAAACAGG